GCAUGGGUGGCAGAGUAGCUAUGCAGCGGACUGCAAAUCCGCGGACCUGGGUGCAAAUCCCGGCCUGUGCU
RNAcentral lists this transfer RNA (71 nucleotides) under uncultured Poseidoniia archaeon. Its description in RNAcentral is "uncultured Candidatus Thalassoarchaea euryarchaeote tRNA-Cys". It matches the Rfam family "tRNA". Rfam says of the family: Transfer RNA (tRNA) molecules are approximately 80 nucleotides in length. Their secondary structure includes four short double-helical elements and three loops (D, anti-codon, and T loops). Lineage: Archaea; Methanobacteriati; Thermoplasmatota; Candidatus Poseidoniia. The record is from RNAcentral.